AGUAAAAGUCGUAACAAGGUUUCCGUAGGUGAACCUGCGGAAGGAUCAUUAACGAAUUUCUCAAGGUUGCUUUUGCGUGGUGCGGUCUUCCGCAUAGCGUUGAACGUGACUCUUGAGCAUUUCACACAUCCCCUGUGCACCUUAAGAGGGUAACGGUUCUGUCUUGAGCGCUGCAAAGUGCUCGAUAGGAUAUGUUGCCUUCUCUUUCACAAAAUCAAAAGUCUAGAAUGUUUGAUAAUAUUAAAUAAAAUAACUUUCAACAACGGAUCUCUUGGCUCUCGCAUCGAUGAAGAACGCAGCGAAAUGCGAUAAGUAAUGUGAAUUGCAGAAUUCAGUGAAUCAUCGAAUCUUUGAACGCACCUUGCGCUCCUUGGUAUUCCGAGGAGCAUGCCUGUUUGAGUGUCUUGAUAAUCUCAAGUCAACAAUUUAGUUUAUCUGAAAUGUUGAUUUGGACUUGGAGGUUGUGCUGAUCUUUGUAUUGGCUCCUCUUAAAUGCAUUAGCUGGAUUACUAUCAGUAAUAGUCCAUGGUGUUGUAAUCUCGGCGCUGUGACUUAACUGAAUGACGAUCUGCUUCUAGUGUAAUUGCUUCUGGCAAUAUUUGUACACUUGACCUCAAAUCAGGUAGGACUACCCGCUGAACUUAAGCAUAUCAAUAAGCGGAGGAAAAGAAACUAACAAGGAUUCCCCUAGUAACUGCGAGUGAAGCGGGAAAAGCUCAAAUUUAAAAUCUGGUGGUCUUGGCCAUCCGAGUUGUAGUCUAGAGAAGCGUU
RNAcentral lists this ribosomal RNA (771 nucleotides) under uncultured fungus. Its description in RNAcentral is "eukaryotic LSU rRNA". The stretch from base 252 to 405 matches the Rfam family "5.8S ribosomal RNA". The record is from RNAcentral. Lineage: Eukaryota; Fungi.